UACGAAGGUGGCAAGCGUUGUUCGGAUUUACUGGGCGUACAGGGAGCGUAGGCGGUUGGAUAAGCCCUCCGUGAAAUCUCCAGGCUUAACCUGGAAAGUGCAGAGGGGACUGUUCAGCUAGAGGAUGGGAGAGGAGCGCGGAAUUCCCGGUGUAGCGGUGAAAUGCGUAGAGAUCGGGAGGAAGGCCGGUGGCGAAGGCGGCGCUCUGGAACAUUUCUGACGCUGAGGCGCGAAAGCGUGGGGAGCAAACAGG
This 253-nucleotide ribosomal RNA is filed under the name uncultured bacterium. RNAcentral describes it as "partial 16S ribosomal RNA". It matches the Rfam family "Bacterial small subunit ribosomal RNA", at positions 524 to 776 of the family's 1533-position model. The record is from RNAcentral.